This 497-nucleotide ribosomal RNA is filed under the name uncultured bacterium. Its description in RNAcentral is "partial 16S ribosomal RNA". It matches the Rfam family "Bacterial small subunit ribosomal RNA", at positions 28 to 507 of the family's 1533-position model. The record is from RNAcentral.
GACGAACGCUGGCGGCGUGCCUAAUACAUGCAAGUUGAGCGCUGAAGGUUGGUACUUGUACCAACUGGAUGAGCAGCGAACGGGUGAGUAACGCGUGGGGAAUCUGCCUUUGAGCGGGGGACAACAUUUGGAAACGAAUGCUAAUACCGCAUAAAAACUUUAAACACAAGUUUUAAGUUUGAAAGAUGCAAUUGCAUCACUCAAAGAUGAUCCCGCGUUGUAUUAGCUAGUUGGUGAGGUAAAGGCUCACCAAGGCGAUGAUACAUAGCCGACCUGAGAGGGUGAUCGGCCACAUUGGGACUGAGACACGGCCCAAACGCCUACGGGAGGCAGCAGUAGGGAAGCUUCGGCAAGGGACGAAAGUCUGACCGAGAAACGCCGCGUGAGUGAAGAAGGAUGUCGGAUCGUAAAACUCUGUUGGUAGAGAAGAACGUUGGUGAGAGUGGAAAGCUCAUCAAGUGACGGUAACUACCCAGAAAGGGACGGCUAACUACGUG